AUAGCAGACAAACACAAGCAUAGUUGAUGGAAUCCAAAUCCAAAGCAUCCUUCAACCUUGCUUUGAAUCUCAUUCUCUUACUUCUGAAUUUGCCACUGAGAGUAGUUCUUAGUGUUGAUGAAUACAGCAUAAAUGACUUCCCACUUGAUUUUGUCUUUGGUUCUGGGACAACUGCAUAUCAGUGGGAAGGAGCUGUUAAUGAAGAUGGAAGAACACCUAGUGUUUGGGAUACCUUUGCCCAUGAUGGUGACAUGCAUGAAGAAAAUGGAGAUGUAGCCUGUGAUGGAUACCACAAAUAUAAGGAAGAUGUGAAGCUGAUGGUGGAAACAGGCCUUGAAGCCUAUAGAUUCUCCAUUUCUUGGUCAAGAUUGAUUCCAAAUGGUAGAGGACCUAUCAAUCCCAAGGCAUUAGAGUUCUACAACAAUCUUAUCAAUGAAUUGAUCAGCAAUGGUUUCAUAUGAAUUUCUUAAUUUGUAGAACCAUACUUUGAAAAUUACUUCCAGAACAGAACAAAGUUGCAGUCAGCACUUGAAGAUGAAUAUGGAGGAUGGAUUAGUCCUCAAAUGAUAAGCGACUUCACAAAUUAUGCAGAUGUGUGUUUUAGAGAGUUUGGUGAUAGAGUAUUGUAUUGGAUCACUGUGAAUGAGCCAAAUAUGAUUGCUCUAGGUGGUUAUGAUCAAGCAAUCGUACCACCUCAGCAUUGUUCUCCUCCAUUUUGUGUUAACAAAAGCAUCAGGGGAAACUCAACAACUGAGCCUUACUUGGUAGUUCAUCACAUUUUGUUAGCACAUUCUUCAGCUGUAAGAUUGUAUAGGACAAAAUAUAAGGACAAACAACAUGGAUUUGUUGGUAUCACUAUCUACAUAUUUGGGCUUUUCCCUCAUACAAAUACAGAAAAAGACAGAACAGCAACUGAAAGAUAUCGAGAUUUUACUGUUGGUUGGAUUAUGGAGCCAUUGUUGCAUGGAGACUAUCCCAUUUCCAUGAGAGAAACUGCUGGUGCAAGAAUUCCAUCCUUCACGAAUCGCGAAUCUGAACAGGUUAAGGGUUCAUGUGAUUUCAUAGGUUUAAUUCACUACACCAAUGCUAAUAUCACAGAUAAUAGUGAAGCACUGAAGAACAAUCUGAGAGAUUACACAGCAGAUAUAGCUGCAAAACUAAUCUCUGGACUGAAUCCAUUUUCAAAUGAAGAGUACCCCGUCGCACCGUGGGGUUUACAGGAAGAAUUGAAUAAAUUCAAGCUCCGCUAUGGCAAUCUUCCUAUAUUCAUAUAUGAAAAUGGUCAAAGAACACCAAGCAAUGCAUCAUUACAAGAUGAGUCAAGGGUCAAAUACUUGCAUGGAUAUAUUGGUGCCACACUUGAUGCCUUGAGGCUGUCUGAUCCUGAGAUCAUCAACAUGAUGCGAGGAAAGAAGGUUGACCAGAAGCUGCUUCAAAGGCUGGAGAACAUUCUGAAUGUGGUUGAAGCUGUGCUGAAUGAUGCUGAGAAGAAACAGAUCACUGACCCUGCUGUCAAGAGGUGGCUUGAAAAUCUCCAAGAUGCUGUCUAUGAUGCUGAUGACUUGCUGGAUGAAGUCACCACCAAAGCUGCCACCCAGAAGGAUCCACCAGGUAACUUCCUAUCUCGCUUUCUGAAUUUGCAAGAUAGGGAGAUGGUUACUAGGAUUGAAGAAAUCAUUGCUAGACUAGAAGAUAUUGCAAAACACAAAGAUAUCCUUCGUCUAGAAAAGAUUGCACCCAAGAACAUGUCCGGGAGGAUUCCAUCAACCUCUUUGGUUAAAAAAUCUGAUAUAUUUGUUGGCAGGGAAAAAGAGAGGGAUACCAUAGUGAAAUUGUUGUUAGAUGAUAGUAACAAUGGUGAACUGUCUGUGAUUCCCAUCGUGGGCAUGGGUGGGAUAGGAAAAACUACCUUGGCUAAAUUGGUUUAUAAUGAUGAAAAAGUGCAGCAAAAAUUUCAUGUCAAGGCUUGGGUUUGUGUUGGGGAGGAAUUUGAUGUUCUUAUGGUGACAAAGGCCGUGAUAGAGAAAACUUGUAGUCCUUGUAACUCAAAUGAUUUAGAUACAGUUCAAAAUCAUUUGAAGAAUGCGCUAGUGGGGAAGAACUUCUUGGUUGUUCUGGAUGAUGUAUGGAGUAGUAAUCGUGAGGGUUGGGAAAGUUUUCUAAUUCCUUUUGAAUGUGGAAGUGAAGGUGGGAAGAUUCUUGUGACAAGCCGUCUUGAUACAGUUGCUUCUAUGGUGAAAACUAAACAUAAUGAAGCUCACAAUUUGAGUCUGUUGGAUGAAGAAGAAUGCUGGUUAGUGUUUGCAAAUCGUGCAUGGGAUCCUGCUGAGUCCCAAGGCUGUUCAGCUUUAGUAGAAAUUGGUAGAAAAAUUGUAGAAAAAUGUAAAGGAUUACCUUUGGCAGCUCAAACCCUUGGAGGGUUAUUGCGAGGGGAAGAUAGUGAAAAGGUUUGGAAUGAUGUUUUAAAUAGUGAAAUUUGGGAAUUUUCUGAGGAGAAAUGCGGGGUUCUUCCAGCAUUGUGGAUUAGUUAUUACCACCUUCCUUCAUAUUUAAAACGUUGUUUUGUUUAUUGUUCUUUGUAUCCGAAGGACUUUGAAUUUGAUAGACAUAAUUUGAUGCUAUUGUGGAUGGCAGAGGGUCUUUUGCAGCUACCAAAAAGUGGAAGCACUUUAGAAGAAGUUGGUUAUGGAUAUUUUGAUGAUUUGGUUUUGAGAUCCUUUUUUCAACAUGCUAACUCUAAUGAGAAUUCAUUUGUGAUGCAUGAUCUCAUGCAUGAUUUAGCAACAUUCUAUGGUGGAAAGUUCUUUUCUAGAGCCUUCGGACUCAAGAAUGCGGCCAAACAUGAUGCCAAAACUCGUCAUUUGUCAUAUGAUCUCAUCGACGAGGAUUCAAUCCCAAAGAUAUGGGAAGCAUGUUGUAGUUUAAAACAUGCAAGGACAUUGUUGAAAACCAGUUUGAGUGCAUAUGAAACAUUCCCAGAUGAAAGAAUUGAUUCUAGUCACUUACUAGAGCAAUUAAAGUGCUUGCGAGUUUUGUCAUUUAAAUUCUUUUGUUAUGAGGGAGACUUGUUGCAUGAUUCAAUUGGUGAAUUGAUCCAUUUGCGUUAUUUGGAUCUCUCUGGCCAACCUGUCAUGAUGUUGCCUGAAUCAUUGAGUAAUUUGUACAAUUUACAAACGUUGAAGUUGAGAGAUUGCAGUAACCUUAAAAAACUUCCCAUCAACGUGCAAGAUCUUGUAAAUUUGCGCCAUCUUGAUGUUCAUGGCACUGAUUUGGAAGAUAUGCCAAAGGGGAUGAACAAGUUAAAAGAUUUGCAGUUUUUAAGUGACUAUGUUGUGGGGAAGAAUGAAGAGAAUGGGAUUGGAGAAUUGGGAGAGCUAGCAAAUCUUCAUGGGACAUUUUAUAUCCAGAAAUUAGAGAAUGUAAUCAGUAGUGUUGCAGCCUCGGAUGCAAGGAUGGAUGAGAAGAUUCACCUCAAUGAUUUAUCUUUGAAGUGGUCAUCAGGUGAAGAUAGUGAUAUUGAUGAUUCCCAAGUUGAAAAGGAUGUACUUGACAAAUUAAGGCCUCACAAAGGCCUAAAAAAGCUAAAGAUCGAGGGGUUCAGGGGUACGAUGCUUCCGGAUUGGGUAGCGCACUCUUUCUACAACAACAUGACUUUCUUGGAGCUGAGGGGAUGCAAGAAUUGUUGGAUGGUUCCUUCUCUUGGACAGUUACCCUCUCUAAUGGAAUUGAGGCUUGAUGGAUUUGAUAUGGUGAAGAUCAUUGGUGCUGAGUUUUAUAAGAGUGACAGAACUCAUCAUCAUCAUCAUCAGCAGACACCCUUUAGAUCCCUUAAAUAUCUGUUUAUUUCUCAUAUGCGUUGGUGGGAGGCAUGGGAGUCAUUAGAAUGUGAUGAUGCACCAUUUCCUCAACUUAAGCAACUUAGCAUAUGGGAGUGUCCUAAGUUAAGAGGUGAUUUGCCUGCUUUCCUUCCGUCUUUGAAAUCACUAUACAUUGAAGAUUGUGAGCAGCUUGGUUGUUAUCUGCCAAGAGCUUCCAUCAUAAGGGAACUAAGAAUAUAUGGCAAACAGGAAGCAAGAAUGCAGGACCUACCACUUUCACUGCAACAACUAUCAAUUGAAGGAAACCAGCUUGUGGAGUCUGUUUUUGAGGCCAUGACCCGCACCCAACCAACCUCUAUCACAGGGUUAUGGAUCUCAAACUGCUCAUCAGCCAUAUCAUUUCCAGGGAAUUCUUUGCCUUCUUCAUUGAAAGAGCUGGGGAUCAUGAAUUGCAAGAAUAUGGAGUUCCCAAUGCAACAACAGCAUCAUCAUGAGUCACUAGUUAAAUUAACAAUAGAAAACAGUUGUGUUUCACUUACAUCCAUGGUGUUGGAAGCUUUCCCGAAUCUGACAUCUAUCACAAUCAAAAGAUGUGAAAAUUUGAGAUCUCUUGAGGUGGUGCCACAGUCACAGUCCCUCGAAAUAUUAUCAAUUGAAGGCUGCCCUAAGAUGGAGAACAUAGCAGGGGAAAGGCUUCCUGCCUCUUUAAGGUUUCUCUUCAUCCGUGAAUGUCCACUGUUGGGUGAAAGCAUAAAGAGGAAGGACCUCUGCAUUUGGCCUACUAUUUCCCACCUCAACCACAUUUGCGUUGAUGGGAGACAGAUUUCAUGAUGACUCAACAUCUUAAAACAGAUUAUGUCAUUUGGUGGGAAAAAAAGAGAGACGAUUUUCACAAUGACAAGCCUCAACACAUUCAUUGGGUUCUCUAUUAUGGUACUGCAAAGCAAACAUCAAGAUAAAACUCUUUCAGCAUGUUGGUUCUACAAGGCAAAACAAUAUCAAUGGACUAAGCAUGCUUUAAGAAAGAUCUUAAGAUCUUUCAAGUUUUGGAUGUAGUAAUUCUUUGCUGGUUGAGUACAUCGACAAGGAGCUAUACAUAUAUAGUUGAAAGCUGGACCACUCUUAGAGCAUGGUUAAAGUUGGUUAUUUGGAGCAAGUAAUGCUGAAAGCUAGGCUGAGUAGCUGAUAUGGUGAUCUCAAAAUAAUGUUGCUCAACUCAAGGAAGAAAUGAAUUCUGAGGCAUGUCUUUUGACAACAGAUGAAUCGAAGCAAAGUUGGAUUAAGCCUAAUUAGGAGACCAAAGGAAUCUGGGCAAGAAUGAUGGAGGAAAAUCGAAUCCCAAACAAAUCAGAUGAGGUGCAGUCUCUGCAUCAAUGCAAAGGAAGAAUUCAUGGAAGACAUCAUCCUCGUACAAAAUUAAAAGAAGAAAUGGAUGAUGAAAAACAUAAUUUUUCAAGGACAGAUAGACCAAUCAAAAUGCAACAAGAAUACCUUCAAUGAUAUGGAUACAGUUGGAGCAACCUGUCAAAAAUAGGCAGAAAGCUUACAAACUUUUCAAAGUAAAAAAGGAAGGACAAACUUAGUUUUAUAUUUUUAUUUACACUGAACAAUUAUCUUUUUUUUUCUUAAGAGUUUUCAUGCCUUCAUCGUUUCAUUCUAUUUUAGGAGAGCUGAUAUGAGUUAUACUGUUUAUACGAAAGAGAGAGCUUAGAAAGUGAGAAUCAAUUUCUGUUAUGAAAAAGGCAAGAGAGCCAGGAUGUGAGAAUAUCUAGAAAAAGCUAUAGUGCCGUUUGAGAAAUUUGUUUUUUGUAUUGGCUUGAAUUGGUAUUUGUAACAUGAAUUUGUUUAUAGUGAAAAAUUCUACCAUUUAUUAUGGUGGAGACUAGAUGUAGAUCCCACUUUGGGAUUAAACCAGGAUACAUCGUGUUGUUCAUCUUCUCUAUUACAAUUUUCAUUCACAAUAUUGUUAUAACUGUCAUCUGCAUAUGUUUUCUGCAAAUCAUGCGAUCAUUUUAUAAAAUCACCUUUUAAUCAUUCAAAUCUGCAUCCCUAUUCCAUUUUCUAUGUCUAACAGUAUAGUGCUGCAGGUUAGUAUAUAAGCAUUAGUGUUAUUAAUUUAUUGACAUAAUUAAAUUUGAAAAUGAGAGGGAAGAAUGUCAUCAUCAAAUAGUAAAAUCAGAAUGUGUUUACUGUGUAUGGUGUUCACUUUUCUGUAAAAGAAAAAAGGCAUGAGUGUUUGUAUGUGAGUGAGAGCAUCUAGCAAAAGCCUUAAGAGAGUCUGAGUGACUUGUAAUCUUGACAAUUUGAAUUCUGAAUCCGUUUAGUGAAAAUCCCACCAUUUUCUAUGGUGGGAACUGGAUCUAGAUUCUACAUUAUUGGAUUCGAACCAGGAUA
Molecule: non-coding RNA, 6212 nt
Organism: Arachis ipaensis
Lineage: Eukaryota; Viridiplantae; Streptophyta; Magnoliopsida; Fabales; Fabaceae
Source: RefSeq, a predicted model, not a curated record